Small nucleolar RNA from Doryrhamphus excisus (bluestripe pipefish), 69 nucleotides. NCBI's taxonomy places the organism in Eukaryota, Metazoa, Chordata, Actinopteri, Syngnathiformes, Syngnathidae. The record is from RefSeq and is a predicted model, not a curated record.
UUUCAGGGAAGAUAACUUUGUCCAGUUCUGCUACUGAAUGGAAGUGAUGCUAAUGAACACUCUGAGAAA